Molecule: ribosomal RNA, 498 nt
Filed under: uncultured bacterium
Lineage: Bacteria
Description: partial 16S ribosomal RNA
Rfam family: Bacterial small subunit ribosomal RNA
Source: RNAcentral
AUUGAACGCUGGCGGAAUGCUUUACACAUGCAAGUCGAGCGGCAGCGCGGGGCAACCUGGCGGCGAGCGGCGAACGGGUGAGUAAUACAUCGGAACGUACCCAGUUGUGGGGGAUAACACAUCGAAAGAUGUGCUAAUACUGCAUACGACCUGAGGGUGAAAGGGGGGGAUCGCAAGACCUCUCGCAGUUGGAGCGGCCGAUGUCAGAUUAGCUAGUUGGUGAGGUAAAGGCUCACCAAGGCGACGAUCUGUAGCUGGUCUGAGAGGACGACCAGCCACACUGGAACUGAGACACGGUCCAGACUCCUACGGGAGGCAGCAGUGGGGGAUUUUGGACAAUGGGGGCAACCCUGAUCCAGCCAUUCCGCGUGAGGGAAGAAGGCCUUCGGGUUGUAAACCUCUUUCGGCAGGAACGAAACGGUGAAGGCUAAUAUCCUUUAUCAAUGACGGUGCCUGAAGAAGAAGCACCGGCUAACUACGUGCCAGCCGCCGCAGUAA